This 537-nucleotide ribosomal RNA is filed under the name uncultured bacterium. Its description in RNAcentral is "bacterial SSU rRNA". It matches the Rfam family "Bacterial small subunit ribosomal RNA", at positions 8 to 523 of the family's 1533-position model. The record is from RNAcentral.
AGAGUUUGAUCCUGGCUCAGAACGAACGCUGGCGGCGUGCUUAACACAUGCAAGUCGAACGUGAUCCAGAGCUUGCUCUGGUGAAAGUGGCGCACGGGUGAGUAACGCGUGGAUAACCUGCCCUGGUAUCUGGGAUAACAUCUCGAAAGGGGUGCUAAUACCGGAUAAGCCUACGGGCUCUUCGGAGUCUGCAGGAAAAGGAGGCCUCUAUUUAUAAGCUUCCGUAUCAUGAUGGGUCCGCGUACCAUUAGCUAGUUGGUGGGGUAAUGGCCUACCAAGGCGACGAUGGUUAGCUGGUCUGAGAGGAUGAUCAGCCACACUGGAACUGAGACACGGUCCAGACUCCUACGGGAGGCAGCAGUGGGGAAUUUUGCGCAAUGGGGGAAACCCUGACGCAGCAACGCCGCGUGAGUGAUGAAGGCUUUCGGGUCGUAAAGCUCUGUCAGAGGGGAAGAAAUGAAACGUGCUGAUAUCACGUUUUCUUGACGGUACCCUCAAAGGAAGCACCGGCUAACUCCGUGCCAGCAGCCGCGGUAA